UCAAACUUGGUCAUUUAGAGGAAGUAAAAGUCGUAACAAGGUAACCGUAGGUGAACCUGCGGUUGGAUCAUUAAUGAUUCUGUUAUUGGUCGUUGGCGCAAUGCCACAGAUCAAAUAACUUUUACCCAAUGUGAAUUGUGUAUGUAUUUGGCAAGUUAUAGUGUUAAACGCUAGAGUUUCGCUCUUGGGCGAAAGCUUGCCAGUAAUUUUACUAUUUGAUCAUCGUGAGCCUGAAUGAAUCAAAAAAUAAAGUGAAACAACUUUUGGCAACGGAUCUCUUGGCUCUCGCAUCGAUGAAGAACGCAGC
Molecule: unclassified non-coding RNA, 307 nt
Filed under: uncultured fungus
Lineage: Eukaryota; Fungi
Description: partial contains small subunit ribosomal RNA, internal transcribed spacer 1, and 5.8S ribosomal RNA
Rfam family: Eukaryotic small subunit ribosomal RNA (bases 1-73)
Source: RNAcentral